RNAcentral lists this ribosomal RNA (497 nucleotides) under uncultured bacterium. RNAcentral describes it as "partial 16S ribosomal RNA". It matches the Rfam family "Bacterial small subunit ribosomal RNA", at positions 28 to 507 of the family's 1533-position model. The record is from RNAcentral.
GAUGAACGCUGGCGGCAUGCCUAAUACAUGCAAGUCGAGCGAACAGAUGAGGAGCUUGCUCCUCUGACGUUAGCGGCGGACGGGUGAGUAACACGUGGAUAACCUACCUAUAAGACUGGGAUAACUUCGGGAAACCGGAGCUAAUACCGGAUAAUAUAUUGAACCGCAUGGUUCAAUAGUGAAAGACGGUUUUGCUGCCACUUAUAGAUGGAUCCGCGCCGCAUUAGCUAGUUGGUAAGGUAACGGCUUACCAAGGCAACGAUGCGUAGCCGACCUGAGAGGGUGAUCGGCCACACUGGAACUGAGACACGGUCCAGACUCCUACGGGAGGCAGCAGUAGGGAAUCUUCCGCAAUGGGCGAAAGCCUGACGGAGCAACGCCGCGUGAGUGAUGAAGGUCUUCGGAUCGUAAAACUCUGUUAUUAGGGAAGAACAAAUGUGUAAGUAACUAUGCACGUCUUGACGGUACCUAAUCAGAAAGCCACGGCUAACUACGUG